UACGAAGGGGGCUAGCGUUGCUCGGAAUUACUGGGCGUAAAGCGCACGUAGGCGGCUUUCUAAGUCGGGGGUGAAAUCCUGGAGCUCAACUCCAGAACUGCCUUCGAUACUGGAGAGCUUGAGUCCGGGAGAGGUGAGUGGAACUGCGAGUGUAGAGGUGAAAUUCGUAGAAUAUUCGCAAGAACACCAGUGGCGAAGGCG
This 201-nucleotide ribosomal RNA is filed under the name uncultured bacterium. RNAcentral's name for it is "partial 16S ribosomal RNA". It matches the Rfam family "Bacterial small subunit ribosomal RNA", at positions 524 to 723 of the family's 1533-position model. The record is from RNAcentral.